Manis pentadactyla (Chinese pangolin) is the source of this 562-nucleotide long non-coding RNA. RefSeq lists it as uncharacterized. The record is from RefSeq and is a predicted model, not a curated record. Lineage: Eukaryota; Metazoa; Chordata; Mammalia; Pholidota; Manidae. The transcript has 4 exons.
GCCUGUGCUGUCUACCCGCACACCCCGUGCCAUCUCUGGGAUAAACUCCUGAGCUGCCAUGGGUGAGGCUGCCCUUGGAAAAGCCUAGCCCCCUGCAGGGGGUUGCAGCCACACCGGAAAUAAGUAGGAGGCUACUUACUUCCAAAGCCUCCCUAGCUGCUCUGCAAACCUGUUGGCUGGGACAUCCAGGCUACUUAGGAGACCAGAGCAAAUGCCAGCACGAGAACGUGAGCUGCAGACUUCUGUGGAUUCCCUGAGGAAAGAGAUGGCCUUGAUGUGGGAGGAGGUAGCACGAGAGCACCGGCAGCAAGGUGCCAUUUGGAGACGAGACAGCAGCGCUGCCAGGUGUUCUGUAGGAGGAAGAGGCCAUCAAGGAAAAAGACGAACUCCUGAGGGAAGCACAGGCGGAGGUGGCAUGAGAAUGUCAGCUGUGAAGCAUUGAGGUUAAGGUCCUGCUGCCCAUCCUCCAGCUGUCCACCCACCAGCCAAGUCCUGCUCCCUCCAGAGUCACAAUUGACAGUCUAAUGUGUCUCUUUUCAAUCUUUUACCAAUGCUUCAAUGA